GACGAACGCUGGCGGCGUGCCUAAUACAUGCAAGUCGAGCGAAGUUUUUCUGGUGCUUGCACCGGAAAAACUUAGCGGCGAACGGGUGAGUAACACGUAAAGAACCUGCCUCAUAGACUGGGACAACUAUUGGAAACGAUAGCUAAUACCGGAUAACAGCAUUAACUGCAUGGUUGAUGUUUAAAAGUUGGUUUUGCUAACACUAUGAGAUGGCUUUGCGGUGCAUUAGCUAGUUGGUGGGGUAAAGGCCUACCAAGGCGACGAUGCAUAGCCGACCUGAGAGGGUGAUCGGCCACACUGGGACUGAGACACGGCCCAGACUCCUACGGGAGGCAGCAGUAGGGAAUCUUCCGCAAUGGGCGAAAGCCUGACGGAGCAACGCCGCGUGAGUGAAGAAGGAUUUCGGUUCGUAAAGCUCUGUUGUUAGGGAAGAAAUGAUUGUGUAGUAAACUAUACACCAGAAGAG
This 466-nucleotide ribosomal RNA is filed under the name Gemella haemolysans. RNAcentral's name for it is "bacterial SSU rRNA". It matches the Rfam family "Bacterial small subunit ribosomal RNA", at positions 28 to 486 of the family's 1533-position model. The record is from RNAcentral. Lineage: Bacteria; Bacillati; Bacillota; Bacilli; Caryophanales; Gemellaceae.